Non-coding RNA from Vicia faba (fava bean), 240 nucleotides. The record is from the annotation of a GenBank genome assembly. Lineage: Eukaryota; Viridiplantae; Streptophyta; Magnoliopsida; Fabales; Fabaceae.
AUGUUCUUCUUGUGUGUUAUUCACUUUUCGAACCGACACAGAAGGAUGAUGACAAUUCACUAUCAAAGCCCUUCAUGGUCCCGCUCAUACCAAAGCUGGAUAGUGAAGGAAGUUGUGUUGAAAUCGAAGUCGCUUGUAACUAAGGACAAGAUUUUAGUUUCUAUUACUGUUGGAAUCAAGUUGAAAGAAUUCAGCAAUGUAUCAAUGAAGAUGUUGAAAAUGUUGAAAAGGACGAUAUAA